Molecule: small nucleolar RNA, 92 nt
Filed under: Theobroma cacao (cacao)
Lineage: Eukaryota; Viridiplantae; Streptophyta; Magnoliopsida; Malvales; Malvaceae
Description: Small nucleolar RNA R38
Rfam family: Small nucleolar RNA R38
About the family: snoR38 is a C/D box small nucleolar RNA conserved across yeast, human, Arabidopsis and rice. It is encoded in the intron of elongation factor-1 gamma in both pombe and cerevisiae. snoR38 guides the methylation of 2'-O-ribose sites in 28S rRNA.
Source: Rfam by way of RNAcentral
AGCUGCGGAUGAAGAGAUGUACGAAAUAGACAGUUAUCCCUGGCUGAUUUUUAUCUUCAAGUGCUGAUAUUUCUUCGAAAUCCGACGCAGAA